Homo sapiens (human) is the source of this 4147-nucleotide long non-coding RNA. Ensembl annotates it as small nucleolar RNA host gene 14. Its record names the gene SNHG14. The record is from Ensembl. NCBI's taxonomy places the organism in Eukaryota, Metazoa, Chordata, Mammalia, Primates, Hominidae.
GUGUCUGUCAGCCAGUUUCCCAGCCCCUGGUGCACUGAAGCUCAGGCCUUUCCUGGCAUCCUGGCCUCCUGCACUGAGCUGUGUGAGUGCUUCUGCCCAGGCAGGCCACUUGGCAUUGACCGGUAUAGAUGGUGACCCUGAAGAAAGACUUCAGUUGGGCCUGAAGGCCCCGGGCCAGUGUCCAUCAUCCAGGUGCUCAGCUCCCAGUGCACUGAAGCUCAGACCCUUCCUGGUUCCCUGGUCUCUUGCACUGAGCUCUGAUGGUGAGACUUGAGGAAGACUUCCACUGGGCCUGCUUUUCCUGAGCCAGUGCCCAUCACCCAGGUGCUCAGUCCCUGGUGCACUGAAGCUCCAGCCCUUCCUGGCGCCCUGGUCUCCUGAACUGAGCUGUGUGAGCUCUUCUGCCAAGCGGUUCCCCUGGCAUUGACCAACAUAGAUGGUGAGCCUGGAGGAAGACUUGCGUUGGGCCCAAAGGCCCUAGACCAGUGUCUGUCAGCCAGGUUCCCAACCCCCGAUGCGCUGAAGCUCAAGCCUUUCCUGGCACCCUGGUCUCCUGCACUGAGCUGUGUGAGCUCUUCUGCCCAGGCGGGCCCCCUGGAAUUGAUGGGUAUAGAUGGUGACCCCGGAGGAAAAUUUGUGUUGGGCCCACUAUCCCUGGGCCAAUGUCAGUCAGCUAGGCACCCAGCCCCCAGUGCGCUGAAGCUCAGGACCUUCCUAGUGCCCUCGGCUCCUGCACUGAGCUCUGAUGGUAAGCCUGGAGGAAGACUUGUGUUGGGCCCACAGGCCCCAGGCCAAUGUCUGUCAGCCAGGUGCUCAGCCUCUGGUGCGCUGAAACUCUGACCCUUCCUGGCACACUGGUCUCCUGCACUGAGCUGGGAUUUUCCACCUAGGAGGUCCACCUGGCAUUGACUGACAUAGAUGGUGAGACUUCUGUCGGCCUCGCUUUUCCUGGGCCAGUGUCCAUCAGCCAGGUGCUCAGCCCCAGUGCACUGAAGCUCCAGCCCUUCCUGGCGCCCUGGACUGAGCUGUGUGAGCUCUUCUGCCAAGGGGGUCCUCCUGGCAUUGACCAACAUAGGUGGUGAGCCUGGAGGAAGACUUGCAUUGGGCCCAAUGGCCCUGGACCAGUGUCUGUCAGCCAGGUUCCCAGCCCCCGAUGCGCUGAAGCUCAAGCCUUUCCUGGCACCCUGGUCUCCUGCACUGAGCUGUGUGAGCUCUUCGGCCCAAGUGGUCCCCCCGGCCUUAAGCGGCAUAGAUGGUGAGCCUGGAGGAAGACUCGUGUUGGGCCCACAGGCCCCAGGCCAGUGUACGUCAGCCAGGUGCUCAGCCCAUGGUGUGCUGAAGCUCUGACCCUUCCUGACUCCGUGGUCUCCUGCACUGAGCUGUGAUGACCAUAUCCAGUGAGCUCUUCCAAACAGGUGGGCUCCCUAGCAUUGACCGACAGAGUGAGCUCUGCCACCCAGGACAUCCCCCUGGCAUUGACUGGCAUAGAUGCUGACCCUGGAGGAAGACUUGUGUCGGGCCCCCAGGCCCCAGGCCAGUGUCCAUCAGCCAGGUGCUCAGCUCCCAGUGCGCUGAAGCUCAGACCCUUCCUGGCACCCUGGUGUCCAGCACUGAGCUGUGUGAGCUUUUCCACCCAGGUGGGCCCCCUGGCAUUGACCGACAUAGAUGAUGAGACUGGAGGAAGACUUCCAUUGGGCCCACUUUUCCUGGGCCAGUGUCCAUCAGCCAGGUGCUCAGCCCCUGGUGUACUGAAGCUCCAGCCUUUCCUGGUGCCCCAGUCUUCUGCACUAAGCUGUGUGAGCUCUUCCACCCAGGAGGGCCCCUUGGCAUUGACUGGCAUAGAUGGUGAGACGGGAGGAAGACUUGUGUUGGGCCUGCUGUUCCUGGGCCAGUGGCCAUCAGCCUGUUGCCCAGCCCCUGAGGCGCUGAAGCUCAGGCCCUUCCUCACACCCUGGUCUCCUGCACUAGCUGUGUGAGCUCUUCUGCCCAGGUGGGGCCCAUGGCCUUACACGACAUAGGAGCACGCAUUUCUUGAAGUCCUGCAAAGGUGAUGGUGGUCCAGACAGGAGAGGGUUCCUUCAGCCCAACAUAGCGCAGCUCCCAGCUGAAACUCGGAAGGCUGGUCAGGCCUCGAGGACUGCCCAGGCCACAUGAGGGUUUGGUGGCCGGGAGGGCCAAUGAUGCUCUGCGUCUGUGUUGGAUCAGUGUUCUUCAUGGAUUCCAUCACAUGGUGAGCCUUGAGGAAGACUUGUAUUGGGCCCCCACAGGCCCCAGGCCAGUGUCCGUCAGCCUGGUGCUCACCCCCAGUGUGCUGAAGCUCAGACCCUCCGUGGCACCCUGGUCUCCUGCACUGAGCUGUGUGAACUUUUCCUCCCAGAUGGGCCCCCUGGCAUUGACUGGCAUAGAUGGUGAGACCGGAGGAAGACUUGCAUUGGGCCUGUUGUUCCUGGGCCAGUGGCCAUCAGCCUGUUGCCCAGCCCCUGAUGCGCUGAAGCUCGGGCCCUUCCUCGCGCCCUGGUCUCCUGCACUGAGCUGUGUGAGCUCUUCUGCCCAGGUGAGGCCCAUGGCCUUAAGCGGCAUAGAUGGUGAGCCUGGAGGAAGACUUGUAUUGGGACCCUACAGGCCCCAGGCCAGUGUCUGUCAGCCUGGUGCUCAUCCCCCAGUGCGCUGAAGCUCAGACCCUCCCUGGCACCCUGGUCUCCUGCACUGAGCUGUGAUGGUGAGUCUGGAGGAAGACUUGUGUUGGACCCCCACAGGCCCCAGGCCAGUGUCCAUCAGCCUGGUGCUAAUCCCCCAGUGCUCUGGAGUUUGGACCCUCCCUGGCACCCUGGUCUCCUGCACUGAGCUGUGUGAGCUCUUCCACCCGGGCGGGCCCCCGGCAUUGACUGGCAUAGGUGGUGAGCCCGGAGGAGGACUUGCGUUCGGCCCGCUGGUCCCAGUGUGUCCGGAAUUGGUGGGUUCUUGGUCUCACUGACUUCAAGAAUGAAGCUGCGGACCCUCGCUAUGAUGAUAUGGAAGAAAAGCACUCUUUGGCCUGUUGUGACUGGGACAGUUGACAGCACCCAGGUGUCCUUUAAUGAAAAUGCUCUUGACACCAAUGCAUCCUAGCAUCACAGCUUCAGGAAGCCUUCUCAAGUGUGCAUGGGGAGUACUAUGUCUUUCAUCAAUAAUGAAAUCUUCUGAUUUGUAAGACAUGCUGCCAAGAGAUGUGCCAUUCUAUUAUAAAAGAUCAGUAGCUUCCUUUACCGACGUGUAUAUUCUAUCUAGAACAUUGAGCUAUGGAAGACUCCCACCUAAGGGAAUUAGUUUUACACCUUCAGAUAAAGACUGCUGAGAAGAGCACCCUCUGGUGUUGUCACAGAGGCAAGUGCUACCGCACAGGCAUGCUGCAGUGAAUUUAACUGAUCCUCUGUCCCUGCAACCGUUGUUUAAGGAUGCUAUUCUGAAAAGACUGUGGAGGAAGAAAACCCUUUACCCUGUUGUUCAGGGAGAAACUGACACCACUCAACUGCCUGGCACUGAAAAUGUGGCAUCCAGUCCACUUUACCAUCAGUGUUUAAGGAAACCAUCUCUGAUAAGGAUGACUGAGGAAGAGUACUCUUUGGCUUGUUGACACCAGCACAGCUGACACACCCAGAUAUCUGUUUGGUCUCCUGUGAACUUUCAACCAGGAUUUAAGGAUGCCACUCUGGUUAAAAGCUGAAACAACUUCAAGGAAACUUCAGGGAAAAGAGAAGGCCUGGAAUCUGAUCCUCCACUUCAGAGAACAGGGUUCACUAAAAAAAUGAAUUUACAAGACAACUGGAAUAUAAGCAAUGAAUACAAGCACUAAGAAGAUGAAGCCAUAGAAACAGCUGCCAGAAAGUGAAGAUGUGACAGUGAACGCCAAACAAGUGGUGGAGUCUAUGGCCCUUCUCCUUGAAUCUGAGUGAAAUUAGUGAGUCUUUCAAUCCAAAGACUACAGUCAUACCUCAACUAUCUACAGAGGACUGGUUCCAGGACUCCCAUGGAUCCCAAAAUCCAAGGAUGCUUCGAAUCCCUUAUAUAAAAUGGCAUGGUAUUUGCAUAUAACCUACAUGCAUCUUCAAAUAUGUUAAACCAUCUCUAGAUUACUUAUAAUACCAAAUACAAUGUAAUGCUAUGUAAA